This 29-nucleotide non-coding RNA is filed under the name Homo sapiens (human). Lineage: Eukaryota; Metazoa; Chordata; Mammalia; Primates; Hominidae. The record is from RNAcentral.
UCUAUGGAAAAGGAGUAGAGCCGGUGUGA